RNAcentral lists this ribosomal RNA (250 nucleotides) under uncultured bacterium. RNAcentral's name for it is "partial 16S ribosomal RNA". It matches the Rfam family "Bacterial small subunit ribosomal RNA", at positions 104 to 339 of the family's 1533-position model. The record is from RNAcentral.
GGGUGAGUAACACGUAGGUAAUCUACCAUUCAGUGGAGAACAACCUGUCGAAAGAUGGGCUAAUUCUGCAUACGUCCUUUGUCACGAUGUGGCGAUUGGGAAAGGUGGCCUCUCCAUGGAAGCUAUCGCUGAUUGAUGAGCCUGCGUACCAUUAGCUUGUUGGUAGGGUAAUGGCCUACCAAGGCUACGAUGGUUAGCUGAUCUGAGAGGAUGAUCAGCCACACUGGAACUGAGACACGGUCCAGACUCC